This 656-nucleotide ribosomal RNA is filed under the name Klebsiella aerogenes. RNAcentral's name for it is "partial 23S ribosomal RNA". It matches the Rfam family "Bacterial large subunit ribosomal RNA", at positions 534 to 1193 of the family's 2925-position model. The record is from RNAcentral. Lineage: Bacteria; Pseudomonadati; Pseudomonadota; Gammaproteobacteria; Enterobacterales; Enterobacteriaceae.
GGGAGUGAAAAAGAACCUGAAACCGUGUACGUACAAGCAGUGGGAGCACCUUCGGGUGUGACUGCGUACCUUUUGUAUAAUGGGUCAGCGACUUAUAUUCUGUAGCAAGGUUAACCGUAUAGGGGAGCCGCAGGGAAACCGAGUCUUAACUGGGCGUUAAGUUGCAGGGUAUAGACCCGAAACCCGGUGAUCUAGCCAUGGGCAGGUUGAAGGUUGGGUAACACUAACUGGAGGACCGAACCGACUAAUGUUGAAAAAUUAGCGGAUGACUUGUGGCUGGGGGUGAAAGGCCAAUCAAACCGGGAGAUAGCUGGUUCUCCCCGAAAGCUAUUUAGGUAGCGCCUCGUGAAUUCAUCUUCGGGGGUAGAGCACUGUUUCGGCUAGGGGGUCAUCCCGACUUACCAACCCGAUGCAAACUACGAAUACCGAAGAAUGUUAUCACGGGAGACACACGGCGGGUGCUAACGUCCGUCGUGAAGAGGGAAACAACCCAGACCGCCAGCUAAGGUCCCAAAGUCACAGUUAAGUGGGAAACGAUGUGGGAAGGCACAGACAGCCAGGAUGUUGGCUUAGAAGCAGCCAUCAUUUAAAGAAAGCGUAAUAGCUCACUGGUCGAGUCGGCCUGCGCGGAAGAUGUAACGGGGCUAAACUGUGCA